UACAGAGGUCCCGAGCGUUGUUCGGAUUUACUGGGCGUAAAGGGUGUGUAGGCGGUCGAAUAAGUUUAGGGUGAAAUCUCCGAGCUCAACUCGGAAAAUGCCUUGAAUACUAUACGGCUAGAGGAUUGGAGGGGGGACUGGAAUUCUCGGUGUAGCAGUGAAAUGCGUAGAUAUCGAGAGGAACAUCAGUGGCGAAGGCGAGUCCCUGGACAAUAACUGACGCUGAGACACGAAAGCUAGGGGAUCAAACAGG
This 253-nucleotide ribosomal RNA is filed under the name uncultured bacterium. Its description in RNAcentral is "partial 16S ribosomal RNA". It matches the Rfam family "Bacterial small subunit ribosomal RNA", at positions 524 to 776 of the family's 1533-position model. The record is from RNAcentral.